CAGCCCGUGGGGGAGAUGAGCCCAGCCAGCAGAGGCCCCAGAGCCGCACCUAUGGAGCCGGUGCCGUCAAUGAUGGCCGUGACCGUGGACAGGGCUUUGGCGUUGCCCUUCAGGCUCUUGUGAGUCCCCAGAUCAGCAGAGACAGCAGUGGUGAUGAGCGCGUAUGGGCCAUUGACCAGGCCCCCACAGAUGAUCAGCAUCACUAUGGAGCUGGCAAUCCCGUCCUGGCCAAUGUAGUUGUACAGGAACAUCAUGGGGGCAGCCAAGAUGAGCAUGACACAGC
RNAcentral lists this long non-coding RNA (283 nucleotides) under Homo sapiens (human). RNAcentral's name for it is "LNC_000782". Lineage: Eukaryota; Metazoa; Chordata; Mammalia; Primates; Hominidae. The record is from RNAcentral.